AUUGAACGCUGGCGGCAGGCCUAACACAUGCAAGUCGAGCGGAUGAAGGGAGCUUGCUCCUGGAUUCAGCGGCGGACGGGUGAGUAAUGCCUAGGAAUCUGCCUGGUAGUGGGGGAUAACGUCCGGAAACGGGCGCUAAUACCGCAUACGUCCUGAGGGAGAAAGUGGGGGAUCUUCGGACCUCACGCUAUCAGAUGAGCCUAGGUCGGAUUAGCUAGUUGGUGGGGUAAAGGCCUACCAAGGCGACGAUCCGUAACUGGUCUGAGAGGAUGAUCAGUCACACUGGAACUGAGACAAGGUCCAGACUCCUACGGGAGGCAGCAGUGGGGAAUAUUGGACAAUGGGCGAAAGCCUGAUCCAGCCAUGCCGCGUGUGUGAAGAAGGUCUUCGGAUUGUAAAGCACUUUAAGUUGGGAGGAAGGGCAGUAAGUUAAUACCUUGCUGUUUUGACGUUACCAACAGAAUAAGCACCGGCUAACUUCGUG
Molecule: ribosomal RNA, 484 nt
Filed under: uncultured bacterium
Lineage: Bacteria
Description: partial 16S ribosomal RNA
Rfam family: Bacterial small subunit ribosomal RNA
Source: RNAcentral